UACGUAGGCAGCAAGCGUUGUUCGGAAUUACUGGGCGUAAAGAGUGUGUAGGCGGUGCUCUAAGUUCGGUGUGAAAUCUCCCGGCUUAACUGGGAGGGUGCGCCGGAAACUGGAGUGCUUGAGCGCGGGAGAGGAAAGCGGAAUUCCUGGUGUAGCGGUGAAAUGCGUAGAUAUCAGGAGGAACACCUGCGGUGUAGACGGCUUUCUGGACCGUAGCUGACGCUGAGACACGAAAGCGUGGGUAGCAAAC
Molecule: ribosomal RNA, 250 nt
Filed under: uncultured prokaryote
Description: partial 16S ribosomal RNA
Rfam family: Bacterial small subunit ribosomal RNA
Source: RNAcentral